This is a long non-coding RNA of Sander lucioperca (pikeperch), 122 nucleotides long. RefSeq lists it as uncharacterized. The transcript is spliced from 3 exons. The record is from RefSeq and is a predicted model, not a curated record. NCBI's taxonomy places the organism in Eukaryota, Metazoa, Chordata, Actinopteri, Perciformes, Percidae.
AGUCAAUAUAUUUCAGAAAAUAAUCUACCUGCACCAUAGUCUGCUGUGCAUUACGUGAUUGGUCUGCUGAUGCGGUAGAUCUCGGACCUUCUGAGAGACUCAGAGCCCCGUUUGGGUCUCUG